Molecule: ribosomal RNA, 229 nt
Filed under: uncultured bacterium
Lineage: Bacteria
Description: partial 16S ribosomal RNA
Rfam family: Bacterial small subunit ribosomal RNA
Source: RNAcentral
UACGUAGGCGGAAUAUUAAGUCAGUGGUGAAAUCCUGCGGCUCAACCGUAGAACUGCCAUUGAUACUGAUAUUCUUGAAUGUAGUUGAGGUAGGCGGAAUGUGUAAUGUAGCGGUGAAAUGCUUAGAUAUUACACAGAACACCGAUUGCGAAGGCAGCUUACUAAACUAUGAUUGACGCUGAGGCACGAAAGCGUGGGGAGCGAACAGGAUUAGAUACCCUGGUAGUCC